CACAUCACGCAAAUCCAAACUCAAUUAACUCUCUAAAUAUUGUAGCAGUUUAUGAACUUGACUUGUAUAUUUACUUUGGACAAAUUCUUUCCAAAAAAAUUCUGAAUAAACAACAUUGAAUAAGAGAUGCAAAUCCGCCUAAUAUUUGAAGCUAAACUUGUGGCUAUUGCAGCUGUUAACAGAUCCAUAAAAUUGAAGCAACAUUGCAAUCACCUUCGCAAUAUCUCAGCAAGCUCAAGCUACACUAAAAGCUCCAGCUCUGUUGUCACUAUCAAUAAGAACAACACCCAUAAAGCACUAAUCCAUAGACCAUAGUAUCUCCCAGCUUAUAAAGCGAUCCGAUUUACUCUUAACUUUUGGGUUAGCAUCUGACAGCAUUAUAGGGUCAUAAGGUCCACUUCUCGAGAACCUAACCAAUAGGAAGAGAAGCCAAAUUCAGAUCAGCCCACCAAGAAGAAAUACCAAUCAACUGAGUGCCCUCUAUCGCAUCUAGAGUCAUUCAUGUUUAAUUAGGUGACAGCAUGGAAAAGCCGAUUAUAGAUCAUGGUUUUGUUCCGACAGUGUAAGCAUAAAAUCUAUGAUAUGCUAUAUGUAAUACGAAAAAAAACUUUAUACCAUGAUUGAAAUCAAAUAACAUUAGAUCGGAUUUACGAUACGUACCUUCUAAUGUCAUCUGAAAAAGAUCUGUGUGAUCUACAAAGAUAUUAUCCCUAGAUCUAAAAAACUACUGUCAAUCUAUAAGGAAAACUAGACACUUCUUCUCCUCUCUUCCUAUCUUUCACAGGAUCACUUAAAUUGAUGGAUUAAGAAGAUUGAGAGAGAAAUCGUAAUAUUUCAAUUGCCUCUUCUAUGACGAAAUGUCUUGUCUAUUUAUAGGCGAUAGCAGAAGGUCUAGAAUAAAUUAUUAUGAGAGUUCUACUAUAAUAUGAACUUCUUUUAUAUUUAUCAAUAUCUAUCAUCAGAAUCUAAUUAAUUUAUCUUAUCCAAUUAUAAAGUACCACAUAAUCUAAUUUGUUAUAUAUAUCAACCAUUUGUUAUAUGGCAAGUAAUUAAUUAUUUUUUCCGGUUGAAACACCUACAGGAAUGGUUGUUGGAGCUUCUAAGUACAAAAACCCAAAUGACCAAAAUGGCUGUUAGAUCUUAUAUUCCUGCUCUAACAACGGCGUCUUCCACCUAAUAAUUCGACACAGCUUAUACUGUUUUGCACAUCUAUGCAUAUCUCAGUACUCCUACCCUCACAGAGACGUUGCGGAUAGCAUGCCUAAAAAACCUCCGCGCCUUCAACAAGGAUCUCACUCACCCACGCCCCACUCCACACUUUGGUUCGACUUCCCGUCGAAUUCUUGUAGUAUGGAACAAAAGGUAAACCUUCAAUAAUAAUAAUAAUAAUAAACCCUAGCGAAAUGUCAAUCUCAAACUGAAUUGGGAAAAAGAAAUUCUGCACAGAGAUGCCGAUGGAAUGAAUAAAGGAUUUACUGAUAGCACCAAUUUACAUGCAAAAAAUUGGUAAGCAGAAGCCUUGGAGACAUUAGAAAACAGAAAUGCCUUACGACGAUAAUAUUACUGAGGAGAUGAGGAGACCACCUAUUUCCCGAAGCGGUUUCCUUCGAACGAACAACGAACGAGAGGCCCCCUCGGUCACCGCUGACUAGUAGCUGGCGAUCGAGGUCGCCCUCGCCCGGCCGCGAUUUCCUCAUCAUCUUGGCUUCCCGGAGGACUCGCCGGAUCUCCCACCCGAGCUGCUUCACUCGAUCGAUAACCCUAACACGGGAUUGCUGCCGCUUGGGGACGGAACAGGUGGCGGCGACGGUGCGGUGUGAAAUGACGACUUCGCUCACACGUGCUAACGGUUUCCUUAGUCUAGUUUAGUGGGACUCAGGCACGUGCUCUGCAAGUGAGGAUGGUUCUAGAUGACUGUUAAAACUUCUCUUGUUUCUCUCUAGAACACGG
Molecule: long non-coding RNA, 1950 nt
Filed under: Musa acuminata (dwarf banana)
Lineage: Eukaryota; Viridiplantae; Streptophyta; Magnoliopsida; Zingiberales; Musaceae
Description: long non-coding RNA (MACU_LNC001697)
Source: RNAcentral